CCUAUAUGCAGCGACUUUUGCACUUCCGAUGUGUAUUUUGUGUGUGUGUGUUGUCUUCGGUGCCAAUCAAACAAAUGUACCUAACGGAAAGCCGUCACUUCCGGGUGCAGCGAACAUCAAAAGAUUACUGAUCUAAAAGGAGCAUUGUUUUGAUUUAGUCCCGCCUUUUCAGAAUGUUCGAAAAGUUGCGCUCGCAAUUUAAUGACUAAAGUAGUUUAUUACAGAAUUCCUACUUCUCAAUUUAUCGUCUUGAUUCGAUAAUAAUGGCUGAACGGCCUGAAGACUUUAACCUUCCUGUAUCGGUAGUUGCUCGUCUGCUCAAGGAAUCGCUGCCCGAAAACGUGUCCGUAUCGAAGGAGGCUCGGGCCGCUCUUGCAAAGGCAGCAUCGAUUUUCGUUCUCUACUCUACCUCACUUUCAAACAACUUCGCCAACAAAAGUAAGCGCAAGAUGGUUUCUGGGCAGGAUGUUAUGGCAGCAAUGGAAGAUAUGGAACUAGAAGCGUUCAAGCCGCAACUGGAAGAAGCGUUAGAAGCUUUCCGAAGGGAUAAGAGCGCCAAAAAGGAUAAAAAAAAGGCUAAAGAUGGGACGACAAAAAAUAGUUCCGGCGACGGCCCCGUUGAGGCAAAGUUACAAGAUAAUAACAAUGAUGUUGAGAUGGCAGAAGAUGCAAACAGUGAUCAGGAUGCGGCAGAUCAAGACGACGACUGAAACCGGUUGCACGGACGCUACGAAUAAAAAAUUUGAAAAAGUCUCUGGAACCAGGACCGUUUCGAUUUUUCCGAACCCCCAAAGUCUAGACAGAUUACAAGAACCGUAGGGUUCCGGGUGUAUCUUGAUCUGAUGGAAACCAUCGUUCGAUAUAUUUAUUUUUAUGUAUUAAUGUAUUAAUAUGGUAAUUACUUUUAUGAGCAAUAUAAUUUAACUUGUUUUUUCUCAGCUGUUUUAGUUUUGGGUACAAUUUCUCUCAUCAUAUCAGUAUGCAUACAAAUCUGAGUCAACGGCUUCCACGAGGGAUGAAUUUGCAUAUGAUAAUGAUUUCGUGAUAAGACUUAGUAAUCGUUAGUUGAACUAGGGGUUUGGAAGGUUGAGUUAUAUGUUACUUGGAGGCUAUUCCCUAUUUUGUUGAAAGUUAUUUUUAUGUGUAAUGGUUGUCCAUUAAUGAUCACGUUAAGCUAAGCGCUCAAGAGUAAAUCGCUAAGCAUAGAUACCAUUUUUGCCAAUGGUUGACAUACGAUGAACUACUACUGCCUUCUUUUUCAAAUUCAAGUAACCCUUGUAAUUCAUUCAUUCUCGUUGUUUCUAUGGUUAUCGAUGGCUGCUACCUCAGAUCAAGGUUUUUCGAUAGUUUGAAUAACAAAUGCUAAAAACACCUUAUAUGUGUAUAUUGAUUCAAGCAAUGACGGGUUUUUAGUUUCGAAGGUGAACAGUUUAGGUAAAACUGUUCACCUUCGAAGGUUAAUGUCGAUCCCGUAAAUUUCAUAAUCGGAACAGUUUGUUGUGGUACAAAUGCUAAUAUUUUCUUUCUGUUAAAUCGCUGGUUGAUGGAAUUUUACGUUACGAAAGAUAUUGCCUUAAAGAAAGCCCAGGGUAAGCGAUUUUGCCGAGCAGGUCGUGCUUCAGUUAAAAAGUUUGCACUUCUUGACCGAAGAGAGUCCGUACAGGUCAAAUAAUCGUUGUCCAUUCUUAAAGCGCUUGACUUCGAUGCAGGGAGGAUCUCUAAGUUUUUGUCAUGACCAAUUUUUUAGCAAAGGCUGUUGGAGGCGAUAGCGGUGUAAACUCGGGCUUCGGCUCAGGUCCCGCCCAGAUAAAAAUUGUUGUAAUUUGCUGCUCCCAUUGUUAACGAGUGGAUUGCUACUUCGGCUUUGUUUUGGUUCCGAGGACAUCGGUUUUACACUUUCGUUAGGAAAGGUUUGCUCCUUUAAAGUUCUUUUUUAUCCGAAAAGAUGCUGAACCAAGUAUCCUAUUAAAACCUUCGGUUUGAUCGAGGGGAGCGCUCAACUUUUCUUUUAUUGCAGAAAGCUAAAUACAUUUUUGUAAGUUUUUGUUUGUGUCUGGUUGUUAUUAACCAUCAGUCAUCUGUUAGCAUUCGAACUAAAGAUAUUUUAACGACGUAAGAAAUAACUAUUCUGUUUACCGAAAUCGUUGCGCAAUACAAUAGCGAUAAGUGGUAUGCUAAUGGCUGGUCCGAACCAUAUCUAUGCUUUACUACUUUAGUAACACUUUAAUCAAAGCUAUAUGCAUAUUCGCUCUACUAGAUAUAUAACAUAGGCAUAUUUUCAUUCGU
Molecule: RNA transcript, 2286 nt
Organism: Varroa destructor (honeybee mite)
Lineage: Eukaryota; Metazoa; Arthropoda; Arachnida; Mesostigmata; Varroidae
Gene: Chrac-14
Gene name: DNA polymerase epsilon subunit 3 Chrac-14
Source: RefSeq, a predicted model, not a curated record